RNAcentral lists this unclassified non-coding RNA (307 nucleotides) under Hevea brasiliensis (rubber tree). The record is from RNAcentral. Lineage: Eukaryota; Viridiplantae; Streptophyta; Magnoliopsida; Malpighiales; Euphorbiaceae.
AAAUAAUUUUAUUAAUAGAAAAAGGUAGAAGUAAAUUAUUUAUUCAAUUCAUUAAUUCUGUAUUAUUUUAUUUAUUUAUUUUAAAUUAAGAAGUAGGUUUUAUUUGUAAGUGUUCUAUGUUAUUAAUCAAGUUUAGUUCUGCAUGAUUCGAGGAUUUUUAGUGCGUUUCUGGUCUAUGUUUUUGAAUAUGAUUCCCACCUGAAGUUGUUCAUUUUUGUUUAUUCAUUUACCUACUGUAGUUUCUUGCUUUGGAAAUGCCAUAUGUUAGGGUUUUGCAUUGUGUUGAACAUGGCAAUGUUGAAUUUCA